ACAACAUUUCUAUUUUUUUAUAUAAUUUCGGAAAUUUAUUUAUUUUACAAAAUUUCUAGUGAAAGUUUCUAUUUUGUGAAAAUUCGGUGAAAAUUCCAAAUUUUGAUUUGCUGUUCAUGAAAUAAAACAACAUAUUUCGGAGAAAGCUACAAUAUACGUCUCGACGAUGUAUAACGAUUCGCUUUUUAAACUCUGAGCCUAAAUGGUUGUUAUACGGCAUGCAAUGAAUGUCAGGUUCUUUGGUGUAUAAAUACUUACGCACACUAGCACGGAUCCAUACGUGCACAUAUGUACACGAAAAAAGAGCAAAGACAAAUAAUUACACUAUUGUUAAAUGGAAAACUCUACACUUGUUAAUCUGAAUACUAGGAACUUCUGAUUGCAAAUCAACAUCAACAAAUGCUUAUUCUGUUGCCGAACCCAUACAAAUAUAUAUAUACAUCCAUAUGCUAUAGAUUACUUCAUCAGGACGAACCAUGUCUCCCCAUAACUUGCUUAUGACUAUUAUUUUCCCGGCUUACGACACACUUUUUUUUUUAGAUAGAUAACGAUAACUAGAUAACUAGAUAAGUUAUCUAUGUAUAUGCCAUAUAAUUCCAUUUUAAUGGAAUUCAUAUUAGUAUAUACAAUUUUUUCUAUUAGAUGCACUACGUCUCGAUCAGUUCAGAUGGUGACUGAUCGGUCGGGGCAUUGAAAGGCGUACAUACAAUUUGUAGUUUCAUACAGAUCAAAUAGUUCUACUAUACACGCGCUUCCUAAUACACUUCAUCGUCUGCAGUGAAGGCAGUGAAGGCGCCGCAACUGUAUAUCUAUAUGCACACAGUGAUGUAGAUAUAUGUAUAUAUAACAUGUAGAAUAAAAAAGACGUAUGCCAAUUUUACGAUUUUUUAUAAUCGAAAACCAAAUAAAAAUUAAAGGCACUCAAACCAUUUGUUAUU
This 938-nucleotide small RNA is filed under the name Drosophila mojavensis. Its description in RNAcentral is "GI26552". The record is from RNAcentral. Lineage: Eukaryota; Metazoa; Arthropoda; Insecta; Diptera; Drosophilidae.